CCAAUAGCGUAUAUUAAAGUUGUUGCAGUUAAAAAGCUCGUAGUUGAAUUUCGGGAUCAAUUUAUUGGUCGUGCCAACGGUACGUACUGGUACAAUUGGUUUCUCCCUUCUGACGAAGCAUGAUGUCAUUAAUUUGAUGUCGUGGGGAAUCAGGACUGUUACUUUGAAAAAAUUAGAGUGUUUAAAGCAGGCUUUGGCUUGAAUACAUUAGCAUGGAAUAAUGAAAUAGGACGUUUGAUCUUAUUUCGUUGGUUUCUAAGAUCGACGUAAUGCUUAAUAGGGAUAGUUGGGGGCAUUAGUAUUCAAUUGUCAGAGGUGAAAUUCUUGGAUUUAUUGAAGACUAACUACUGCGAAAGCAUUUGCCAAGGAUGUUUUCAUUAAUCAAGAACGAAAGUUAGGGGAUCGAAGACGAUCAGAUACCGUCGUAGUCUUAACCAUAAACUAUGCCGACUAGGGAUCGGAUGAUGUUAAUUUUUUAAUGACUCAUUCGGCGCCUUACG
This 500-nucleotide ribosomal RNA is filed under the name uncultured Glomeromycotina. Its description in RNAcentral is "partial small subunit ribosomal RNA". It matches the Rfam family "Eukaryotic small subunit ribosomal RNA", at positions 591 to 1092 of the family's 1831-position model. The record is from RNAcentral. Lineage: Eukaryota; Fungi; Glomeromycota.